UCGCAAUGCCCGAAAGGGUGACGAAGCGACGCCGCGUGCGGGAAGAAGGCCUUCGGGUUGUAAACCGCUGUCAGGAGUUAGGAAAUGCAAGGUGGUUAAUAGUCACUUUGCUUGACUAAGGCUCCAGAGGAAGCCACGGCUAACUCUGUGCCAGCAGCCGCGGUAAUACAGAGGCGGCAAGCGUUGUUCGGAAUUAUUGGGCGUAAAGAGCACGUAGGCGGCUCCGUAAGUCAGUUGUGAAAGCCUUCCGCUUAACGGAAGAACGGCUUCUGGUACUGCGGGGCUAGAGUACGGAAGGGGAGAGUGGAACUUCUGGUGGAGCGGUGAAAUGCGUAGAUAUCAGAAGGAACGCCGGCGGCGAAAGCGACUCUCUGGUCCGAAACUGACGCUGAGGUGCGAAAGCUAGGGGAGCAAACGGGAUUAGAUACCCCGGUAGUCCUAGCCGUAAACGAUGGGCACUAAGUAGAGGGGU
Molecule: ribosomal RNA, 472 nt
Filed under: uncultured bacterium
Lineage: Bacteria
Description: bacterial SSU rRNA
Rfam family: Bacterial small subunit ribosomal RNA
Source: RNAcentral